Molecule: long non-coding RNA, 5132 nt
Filed under: Sus scrofa (pig)
Lineage: Eukaryota; Metazoa; Chordata; Mammalia; Artiodactyla; Suidae
Description: lncRNA (ENSSSCG00000056987.1, ENSSSCG00160039776.1)
Source: RNAcentral
AUGCCUGCCAGGGCUUGGCCUCCAGCCCUCUCCUUUCCUCCCUCUACACUCUCCCCCAAGAGGACCUUAGUAUCCUCAUAGCUUUAUCGUCUAUAGGCUAUAAAUGCCCAAAAUUGUCAUGCCUUUGCGCUGUCCCUGGCAUGCACAGAUGCUCAUUUGUGACCUCCAUUUGGAUGUCUUACAAGCAUCUUGGACUUCAUACAUGCAAAAUGGACUUGUGAUUCCUCCCUUUCCCUGGUCUUUCUCAUUCCAGUGAAGGGCACCGCCAUCCACUCCACAGCCUGAACCACAAACCUGGAAGUAACGCUUGGUUCUCUCCCUCUCCCUCUCUGACCUCUCUCAACUCCACUCCUAUGGCUACUCCCAAAAUAGACUCCCAAUGCAUUCUCUCCUCCCCAUUUGCACUAUUACCUCCCUAAUCCAAGCCUCCAUCAUCUCUGUUCUAGAUUGUUGCAAUGAUCCUAUAUUUCCAAUACUCCAGAGGUAUCUUCUUUAAACAUAUCACAUCACUUCCUCUCUUGAAACCCAGAUGUGGCUUCCCACUGAAAGUAGAAUGAAACUCAAACUCCUUACUCGUGCACUUACCAGACUCACCUCUGCCCACCUCUCCAAUCCCAUCAAAUCUCUCUCUCUCUCUUUCUCUGGAUCUGUCUCCUACCCCCCUGAAAUUCCCACUGGCUUUCAAGAAAUGAAUGGCAUUACAAGUUCUCUUGUAUCAUUUUUUAUUAGAUUCCAUAUAUGUGAUAUAUCAUGAUAUUUGUCUUUAUCUCACCUACUUCACUCAGUAUGAUCAUCUCUAGGUCCAUCCAUGUUCCUACAAAUGGCAUUAUUUCAUUCUUUUUAUGGCUGAAAAAUAUUCCAUUAUAUAUAAGUACCACAUCUUCUUUAUUCAUUCAUCUGUCAAUGGACAGUUAGGUUGCUUCCAUGUCUUGGCUACUGUGGAUAGUGAUGCAAUGAAUAUUGGGGUGCAUGUAUAUUUUCGAAUUAGAGCUUUCUCUGAAUACAUGCCCAGGAGCAGGAUUGCUGGAUCAUAGGGCAAUUUUAUAUUGAGUUUUUUAAGGAACCGCCAUACUGUUCUCCACAGUGCUUGCAUCAGCUUACAUUCCCACCAACAGUGUAGGAGGAUUCCCUUUCCUCCACACCCUCUCCAGCAUUUAUUGUUUGUAGAUUUUUUUGGUGUGGCAAUUCUGACUGGUGUGAGGUGAAAUCUCAUUGUAGUUUUGAUUUGCAUUUCACUAAUAAUUAUCCAUGUUGAGCAUCUUUUCGUGUGUAGAUAGAAAGUGAAUUGGCGGUUGAUUAAGGUUGGAGGUGGUGGAGGGUAGGGGGAGAUUAGGGACUGAUGGCUAAAGGAUAAACAAUAUCUUUGGGGAGUGACAAAAAUGUUCUAUAAUUGAUUAUGAUAAGGUUUGCACAAUUCUGUGAAUAUACUAAAAGCCACUGAACUGCAUAUUUUCAUUUUUUCUUUUUUUGGGGGGCAGGGUGUGCCUAUAGAAUACAGAAGUUCCUGGAACUGGGAUCGAACCUGCACCACAGCAGUGACAAGCCAGAUCCUUAACCCAAUGAACCACCAAAGAACUCCAAAUUGCAUUUUAUUUUAUUUUUAUUUUUAUGAUUCUUAUUUUUUUCCAUUAAGGCUGGUUUACAGUGUUCUGUCAGUUUUCUACUGUACAGCAAGAUGACCCAGUCUCACAUACAUAUAUACAUUCUUUUUUUCUGACAUUAUCAUGCUCCCUCAUAAGUGACUAGAUAUAGUUCCCAGUGCUGUACAUAUUGUUUUCCAUAGUGGUUGUACCAAUUUACAUUCCCACCAACCACGAAGGAGGGUUCCCCUUUUUUCACACACUUUCCAGCAUUUAUUGUUUAUAGACUUUUUUGAUGAUGGCCAUUCUUAUUGGAGUGAGGUGGUACCUCAGAGUAGUUUUGGUUUGCAUUUCUCUAAUAAUGAGUGAUGUUGAAUAUUUUUUCAUGUGCUUGCAGGCCAUCUGUUUGGAGAAACGUCUGUUCGGGUCUUUUGCCCAUUUUUCCAUUGGGUUUUUUGCCUUUGCAUUGUAUAAAUUGCUUGUAAAUUUUAGAGAUUAAGCCCUUGUCAGUUGCAUAAUUUGAAACUGUUUUGUCCCACUCUGUAAAUUGUCUUUUUGUUUUCUUUUUGGUUUCCUUUGCUGUGCAAAAGCUUGUCAGUUUGAUUAGGUCCCAUUGGUUUAUUUUUGCUUUUAUUUUUGUUACUUUGGGAGACUGACCUGAGAAAACCUUUGUAAGGUUGAUGUCAGAGAAUGUUUUGCCUAUGUUCUCUUCUAGGAAUUUGAUGGUGUUUUUUCUUACGUUUUAAGUCUUUAAGCACUUUUGAGUUUAUUUUUGUGCAUGGUGUCAGAGUGUGUUCCAGUUUCAUUGAUUUACAUGCAGUUGUCCAGUUUUCCCAGCACCAUUUCCUAAAAAGACUGUCUUUUUCCCAUUUUAUAACCUUGCCUCCUUUGUCGAAGAUUAAUUGACCAUAGGUGUCUCGGUUUAUUUCUGGGUUCUCUAUUCUGUUCCAUUGGUCUGUAUGUCUGUUUUGGUACCAGUACCACACUGUCUUGAUUACUAUGGCUUUGUAGUAUUGCCUGAAGUCUGGGAGAGUUAUGCCUCCUGCUUGAUUUUUGUUCCUCAGGAUUGUUUCAGCAAUUCUGGGUCUUUUGUGGUUCCAUAUAAAUUUUCGGAUUGUUUGUUCUAGUUCUGUAAAAAACAUCAUGAGUAAUUUGAUAGGGAUUACACUGAAUAUGUAGAUUGCUUUGGGAAAUAUGGCCAUUUUUACAAUAUUAAUUUUUUCAACUCAGGAGCAUGGAAUAUCUUUCCAUUUCAUUGAAUCAUCUUUACCAAAUUGCACAUUUUAAAGAGAUGAAUUGAAUGAUAUGUGAAUUAUAGCUCGACAAAUUUUCCAAAAGCAAUAAUCCUAUGUUACUUUCCCUAAAUUAUUUCUUCUUUCCAUUUUCAGUGGAGGAUUCAGCUAUGUUAUAUAUUAAAAUCAAUAAAUUAAUACUGUCUUGUUAAGUGCCAUCAUAUAUUUAGACUUUAAUGAUUCAAAAAUCAGUUAACAAAAGUUGAUUAAACUGUUGAUGUUUAUCACUUGAUAAAUUACAUCCCUAAGACUUUUAUUCGUGUGUUCACUUGUAAUCACCUUCAUUGGCCAGCCUCAAGGAUAGAAUUUUGACAUUAGUGAAGGAGCUUGCCAUUUCAAGGCUAGACAUUUUCUGUGCCUUUGGGGUUUUCCCUAGCUGUGCCCUUCAGAAGACAGAGGACCACUUGUUAGAGGCAUUUCACAGCCUCUUCCCAUUGGCUAUACUUUUUUUUUAAGUUUUUUAAUAUUUCAAUUUAUUCCCCACUUGUGGAUAAAAGGUCACAUCAAUUAAAAAUUAUGUUUGACUAUGGUGGUGUUCCAUCACCACAGCAAAUGGUCCUGAUCUUGUCCUUGGUUCUUGUCCCCCUCUCAGCUGUAAUAUUCUCUCUGGUAUGGUCUGAACUUGACCUUGAGACAAUGACAGCCUGAGCCUGUUGUUAGUUUAAUGUCAUGCCAGAGUUGUGACCAACAAUAGUCAUAAUUGUGUCCAAACAGUCUUAAUAUUCAACAAUGUUAAACAAGACUCUCAAGUGUGCAUUGUGCUGGUGUCACUGAAUUUGGUGACAUUGGCUGCUCUUCCUAGCAAGUGUUCUAGCUUGGUUUUUACUUUGAGGUUUUGCUCUUCUAAGUGUAGGAAUAUUUUACAUUUCAGUCUUCUAGAGUCUGUUUUCAAAGUAGAUAAUCAUUUUAAUGUCCUGGUUGCUUCCAUUUUGGCUAAGGAAAGUGAUUGGUUUCCAAAGACUUCAAAGAACGUGUUGGCUUUUUAAAAGAAUGCCAAAGAAUAUACUGCCAUUGUUAUUUGAAGAUUAAAAAAAGAGAAAACCAACCACAAUGUUCCUCAGAGUGGUCAACAGUGUGUAUUUCACUUCCUGAUUAUAGAUUUUAUUAACUUUGAGUAAAAUUAUUAUUAGGCAAUCCGCAUUGAUCCAUGUAGUGCAACAGACACAUAAUUCAUGCCCCAUGUGUUAAAUAUUCCAGAAGAAAGAUGCUUAGGCCAAUGUCAGGGCUUACAGUACUUAUGAAACACAAAUGUGUUAAUUCCCACAGAACCACAAAAACUGGGCUCAUCCAGAAAAUGUCAAUAAUAAGUGGUAUUAAAAAAAGGCCACUGAAUCACUGACUUAAUUUUCCUUUUGUCAUAAAGCCAGCGACGCUAACUCCAGGAAGUAUGUCACUAGCUUUUGUUUUGUUUGUAGUUUACGUAGUCCAUACAAUAGCAGGCUCGGAACAUAUUUUAUUGGGGAAGAAGAAUAAUCUAUUCCUUUCCGCAAAACUCAAACCAAGAUGAAUUCAAAGUUCCCCCGAAUAAUUGCCCUGUCAAUUAUAAACAUGCACUGGAAUUCCAAGCAUGAAUUGCCCAUCUCUUCAAGUAAAUGAUCAGGAACUGGAAAGCACUGGAGAACGGCGGGCGGGGGGUGGGGUGGGGACACUGGAUCAAAAGGUAAGGCUGGACAGCUUUGUGCGCCAUGCAGCAGACAGGUAGUGAGGGCUUACAAAAGAUGAAAAGUGUCAACAGGACAGUGAGUGAUUAAACUCAGAUACAAAUUCCACCAGAACCAGGUGGCUGGGUUUCCACCGCCAAUCACUAACAACAACAACAACAAACAAAUGAUGCACGAAGCAGGAAUGAUGGGUUAGAAACUACUGCUCAUCAAUGCUCCUAACACUCAUGACAGCUGCAGACCCAAGCCAAGGGGAAAGGGCCAAGGGUCAAGGGCCUGGGGGCCUUUAAAACUGUCCUGGAGUGCUGUGCAAAGAGGUUCCCUCCAUGCACCAAAACGAUCCCACCUCACUGUCUUUAAAAAAAAAAUUGGAGUUGGCAUCGUGGCACAGCAGAAACGAAUCUAACCAGGAACAAUGAGGUUGUGGGUUCAAUCCCUGGCCUCACUCAAUGGGUUAAGGAACUGGCAUUGCCAUGAGCUGUGGCGUUGGUCACAGACACGGCUUGGAUCUGAUGUUGCUGUGGCUGUGGUGUAGGCCUGCAGCUCUAGCUCCGACUUGACUCCUGGCCUGAGAACCUCCAUAUGCCACAGGUGCAGCC